UCUGGCUGGUGAGGACGAGCGUCCUGCAUAUUCCUACAUCUUCCCAGAGUCCUUUGGGGCCGUUACUGGGGAGCUAAACCAUGCAGU
This is a small nucleolar RNA of Stegastes partitus (bicolor damselfish), 87 nucleotides long. Its record names the gene SNORA73. It matches the Rfam family "Small nucleolar RNA SNORA73 family". Rfam says of the family: U17 (SNORA73A and SNORA73B) also known as E1 belongs to the H/ACA class of small nucleolar RNAs (snoRNAs). Vertebrate U17 is intron-encoded and ranges in length from 200-230 nucleotides, longer than most snoRNAs. Lineage: Eukaryota; Metazoa; Chordata; Actinopteri; Pomacentridae. The record is from Ensembl.